AAUCCAAAUCCAUAAGUAGUUUCAAUUGAAACUGAUUAAUCAGUUAGUAUCUAAGAUAAGUUUGGCAGUCUUGACUAAUGAUUUUUAAUUGAGAGCUACUCACAUAGAUUGAGUCUAUGAUGAGUUAAUGGCAUAUCUCUCCCACCAAUCUCACUUAUCUGAUCAAUAUGGUGAAUCAAGUUUUGAUCAGAUUGCUUAAUGAUUAGGGUUGACCCAUGCUUACUAAGAAAUCAGUUCGACUGAUUUUGGUGCCCCU
RNAcentral lists this long non-coding RNA (256 nucleotides) under Elaeis guineensis (African oil palm). RNAcentral describes it as "long non-coding RNA (EGUI_LNC063497)". The record is from RNAcentral. Lineage: Eukaryota; Viridiplantae; Streptophyta; Magnoliopsida; Arecales; Arecaceae.